UCUCUCUCUUCCCGGUUCUCACUUUCUCAUUUCUCUUUCUAUUUCAAAUUCUGAAACAUAAGAUCAAAGACAAUUUUCUAGGGUUUCUUUUAAAUUAAUUUAUUGAAGGUUAUAAUGAUGAUUGGAGUGGAUAAACAAUUCGUACGAAUGUCGUUUGGAGAGUAAGUUGCAGGUGGUUUAAGCUUUGAUUGAAUAUGAGAUCAACAUUUAGGAUUUUGUUGUCUCUGAAAAGGCGACAAAAGUUAAGGAGAUCGUCGACAAGGUGUAAGAGGGGCAUCAUUGGAACUAGUAAGAAACCUAACAAAAGUAUGUUUGACGUUAGCAAAACAAACUAAAAAUCUUCACUUGGUUUGUCUGUUAGAAAUUUGGUGUCCUUUUUUAUGUAACUUAAUUUGGGGAAAUUGUGUAGGUGUGAUGGAUAUACUGUGUAGGUAUUUUGUUGUACAUGAACUAUGGUGGUUGACAAGAAAUAUGGUGUCCUUUUGCUUGUGCAACUUAAUUUGAUCGUUUUUUUAGUUGGUUACAUGUGUUACCCGGUUUUCCAGGUAACAUGUGUAACAUAU
This 563-nucleotide long non-coding RNA is filed under the name Helianthus annuus (common sunflower). The record is from RNAcentral. Lineage: Eukaryota; Viridiplantae; Streptophyta; Magnoliopsida; Asterales; Asteraceae.